This 775-nucleotide ribosomal RNA is filed under the name uncultured Neocallimastigales. RNAcentral describes it as "partial large subunit ribosomal RNA". It matches the Rfam family "Eukaryotic large subunit ribosomal RNA", at positions 24 to 644 of the family's 3401-position model. The record is from RNAcentral. Lineage: Eukaryota; Fungi; Neocallimastigomycota; Neocallimastigomycetes; Neocallimastigales.
UAUGUGAUCGUCUCUCGCAUAUCAAUAAGCGGAGGAAAAGAAACUAACAAGGAUUCCCCUAGUAACGGCGAGUGAAGCGGGAAGAGCUCAAAUUUGAAAUCUUAAAGGGUUUCCCUUUACGAAUUGUAGUUUAAAGAAGUGUUUUCUGUUGAGGUUUUGGUAAAAGUUCUUUGGAAUAGGACAUCAUAGAGGGUGAGAAUCCCGUAUUUGACCUUUACUUUCAACUUUGUGAUACACUUUCAAAGAGUCGGAUUGUUUGGGAAUGCAGUCCAAAAUGGGUGGUAAAUUUCAUCUAAAGCUAAAUAUUGGCGAGAGACCGAUAGCGAACAAGUACCGUGAGGGAAAGAUGAAAAGAACUUUGAAAAGAGAGUUAAACAGUACGUGAAAUUGUCAGAAGGGAAGCGUUUGACACCAGUGUUGUUUUUCUGAAAAUCAAUUAAAGAACUGUUUAUGCUAAGCUGUUUAGACCUUUAUCAGCUAACUGUUUAGUUUUGAGCUUUUCUUUAAUGCACUUUUCAGUUAACAAGUCAACAUCAAUUUCUUUUGCUGUAAAAAAGCUUGAGGAAGGUGGCUUGAGAUUCGUCUUAAGUGUUUAUAGCCUCUUGCCUAUGCAGUCGGAGAGAUUGAGGUCUGCAGCGUAGAUCCUUCGGGGCUAAAUGCAUUUGUGCUAAGUUAUAGCAUUUUAUAGACAACUUGUUGACUAUGAUUUGUCUUGUAGCUUACUCGCUUAUGUUAUUUUACCUACGCUUAGGAUGUUGAAGAUAUGCGCGACACG